CCUACGGGAGGCAGCAGUGGGGGAUAUUGCACAAUGGGGGAAACCCUGAUGCAGCGACGCCGCGUGGGUGAAGAAGCGCCUCGGCGCGUAAAGCCCUGUCAGCAGGGAAGAAAAUGACGGUACCUGAAGAAGAAGCCCCGGCUAACUACGUGCCAGCAGCCGCGGUAAUACGUAGGGGGAAAGCGUUAUCCGGAUUUACUGGGUGUAAAGGGGGCGCAGACGGCGAUGCAAGCCAGGAGUGAAAGCCCGGGGCCCAACCCCGGGACUGCUCGUGGAACUGCGUGGCUAGAGUGCAGGAGGGGCAGGCGGAAUUCCUGGUGUAGCGGUGAAAUGCGUAGAGAUCAGGAGGAACACCGGUGGCGAAGGCGGCCUGCUGGACUGCAACUGACGUUGAGGCCCGAAAGCGUGGGGAGCAAACAGGAUUAGAUACCCGGGUAGUC
Molecule: ribosomal RNA, 440 nt
Filed under: uncultured bacterium
Lineage: Bacteria
Description: partial 16S ribosomal RNA
Rfam family: Bacterial small subunit ribosomal RNA
Source: RNAcentral